This 453-nucleotide long non-coding RNA is filed under the name Equus caballus (horse). RNAcentral describes it as "lncRNA (ENSECAG00000040303.3)". Lineage: Eukaryota; Metazoa; Chordata; Mammalia; Perissodactyla; Equidae. The record is from RNAcentral.
GAAAGAGGGCCUGAUGGACUGUGUUGGCUGUUAGACCUUUAGAAAGCUCAAGCAACCAGGAGGAAGAAGAAAACAGACUUCAUUGACAAGGAAAAGUAAACAUUGCAUCUUGGCAAAAAUGCAGUUUAAAUAUUUAGAAUAUUGUGAUUCAUUGUUCAAUUAAGCACCAGUCUCAAAUUUUAGGACAGUCGAUGGAUGAUGAAGAGGAGAGGAGAGAAAAGUGCUUGUUUCCCUAGAGGUCUCAGUCUUAUUGCUCCUUCGGAAGAGAAGAGAUAUAGCUUAUACAGACUAAAAUUUGGGGACGAUGACAUGGAGGGUUUGUGCAAAGUAAAUGUCUUGGUGCUGCUAUCAGAAUACAAUAGAUGUUUGGUUUGUGACAUUAGAUAUCUCUUAUGUUUGUAUGCCUUUUGCGAGGAAAGGCUAAAUUUCAGCUUCCUUGUCGCCCAGCACAUG